Molecule: ribosomal RNA, 453 nt
Filed under: uncultured bacterium
Lineage: Bacteria
Description: SSU rRNA
Rfam family: Bacterial small subunit ribosomal RNA
Source: RNAcentral
AGGAUAAACGCUGGCGGCGUGCCUAACACAUGCAAGUCGAACGUCCUACGCAAGUAGGGAGUGGCGGACGGGUGAGUAACACGUGGGCAAUCUACCUUUCGGUGAGGAAUACCGGCGAGAAAUCGCCGACAAUACCGCAUACGCUUCGCAAGAAGCAAAGUCGCAAGACGCCGGAGGAGGAGCCUGCGCCCGAUUAGCUCGUUGGUGGAGUAAUGGUCUACCAAGGCGACGAUCGGUAGCUGGUCUGAGAGGAUGAUCAGCCACACUGGGAUUGAGAACGGCCCAGACUCCUACGGGGGCAGCAGUGAGGAAUUUUCGUCAAUGGGGGAAACCCUGAACGAGCAACGCCGCGUGCAGGAUGAAGGCCUUCGGGUCGUAAACUGCUUUUCUCUGGGACGAGCAAGGACGGUACCAGAGGAAGAAGCCCCGGCUAACGUACGUGCCAGCAGCCGC